Girardinichthys multiradiatus is the source of this 1598-nucleotide long non-coding RNA. RefSeq lists it as uncharacterized. The record is from RefSeq and is a predicted model, not a curated record. Lineage: Eukaryota; Metazoa; Chordata; Actinopteri; Cyprinodontiformes; Goodeidae. The transcript is spliced from 6 exons.
UCACACCAAAUUAAACAUUGAUUGAUAACUAAUGAUGUUCAUGUAUCUACAAAAUGUUCAUAUUUGGUUUAGUUUUUAGUUUAAAGAAUCAUUUCAACCUCUGCAUGAAAUAUGCUGCUUAUUGUGUUUUGCAUAGUAAUUUUGAAUACUAUACAUUUCAUCAAUACCUCACACUCACUGAUAAUGAAAGAAAUCGUUAAUUUCUCUCAUCUACCUCAACAUGGAGGCACUCCUCAUUCGCUCCAGGUAAAGGUUUUGUGUGGCCAAAAAGAGGCUAAUGAGGCUUUUCUGGACUGCCAUGCCAGCAGCCAAGGUUCUCAUUGCGGACAAAACAAAAACCAGAGGCAAUCUCUCAAAGGUUUUACUGGCCAGGAAUGUCAAAAGGCAUCAAUUUGUGGGUUAGUCAGUGUGUGGCAUGCCAGGCCAGUAAAGUAAUCAUAAAACAGGAGGUGGAAUACACACCAAUAAAGGUGACCCAGCCCUUCGAGCUACUUGGCUUGGAUUUGAUUGGAAAAUUAAAAACUACUGCAAGUGGCAAUCAAUAUAUAUGUGUCAUGGUAGACUACUUGACAAAGUGGCCACAAGCCUAUGCUUUAAAGACAAAGAGUGCAGAGGAGGUGACCCAAUAUCUUCUCAAGUUUGUCUAUCAGUUUGAAGCACCAAAGCCAGUUCUCACUGAUUAAGGGAAGGAGUUUGUCAGUGAAAUCAAUAAAAAAGUCAGUGACAUGCUGGUUUAAAAGAAGUCUCUGUGCCCCAUACCACCCACAGAUUAAUGGUUUGGUAGAAUGAAUAAAUGCUACCAUACAGAGAGCACUUUCCAAACUGGUGCAAAACAAGCCAGAUGACUGGGACAGACAUUUGGAUGCUGUACUAUUUGGCUUAAGGACAAAACGCCAACUACUAAAUUCUCACCAUAUUUUCUGACGUUUGGAAGAGAAGCAAGAUAUCCAACUGAAAUACUUGAAGAUUACAAGGUGGACAGCGGUGUUGAAGACGAUAUGUCAGUGGAGGAGGUCAUUGAGAAAAUGUUUUGAAACGUGAUCAAACUUAUUCGGUCUGUAAUCACCUCCAAACAACAAAAGACAACCAAAAGCAAGGGAAAAAAUGUAUCAAGUGUAAGGAAUUGAGGUUAAACGGUACAGCAGGUAAAGGGAGAGGUCUAGGAAACACUAUAAGUAGUGGCAAGGAUGGGGUAUAAAGAGAGGGGAUGAAUGGUAAAAAGGCCUGUGUUGCAUGACAAUUUGCCAAUAGAUGUCAUUGUGCUGUAUUAAAAGUUUUGUUAAAAAUGGCUAGAAGAAAAAAUCAUAAAAAGACUGGCUGGCAAUUUUGAUGAGUGUUGAACUUAGGGUACCUGAAAAAACUAUGACCGGUGUGGGUAUCACCCUGACUUAAGCCCACAGAGCUUUCGAAGAAAUUUCCACCUGAAAAUAGAUCCACCUUGGUGUAAAAGCAAACUUUGUUACUUCUGUAAAUGCAUUGCAUAAAAUGAGCAUUUCACAGUGUGAGCAAUAUUCUCCACUGAUAAAUCUCUACACUCGACUGUGGCUCAAGUGGUAGGAACUUGUCCUUUAACUGGCGUUUCGAACCCCUGCUCUGUC